CAAACUAGUAGUCAUGAAAGUAAUGAUACGAUCAUUACAAGAACUUCAUUGAUGAUGGUGAUGUGGUAAUUGCCAUGGGUCAUGAAGCAUGGGGGGAAACUUUAUUUAUUUGUUAAUUUAUUACUAGCAUAACUUCACCCACAUCCAUAUCCAUAGACAUAAUAACAUAUCAUCCAUAGGCCCAUAGCUUUAUUUUUUACCCCAUUCAGGGAGGCCUGCAGUAAGCACUGUUACCUUUACACCUACGAUGCGGUGGCUUUGUUGGUAUGCAUUUUGUUCCACGACCACAUUCUUUUCCUUUGCGUUCACCACCUGCAACAAUCAUAUAUUAUGUGCAUCUAUGCAUACUGUUAAUUAUAUAUAUAUGGAUGUCCUAUAUAUAAACAUAAAGACUAGCUGCUGAAUCUUACCCAAGGGCUGGUCCUGGAUAGGCAUGGCGGAAAUGGGAAUAAAGAAAGAGGAAGCUAGGAGAACACAAACUAAAAGAAACAGUGGCUUCAUUUUGGAUUAUUAAGUAGGUUAAGUUCAUCUCCUCUCUCAACUCCUAUUUAUAGCCCAAUUUCAAGUCUUUUGAAGAUUAAAAUAAUAUUAAAUAAAAAUAAUAAAAGUGAACAUUAGUGAUGAAAAAGUAGAAAUUAUGAAAUAAUGACAGUGGGAACAGCUAUUAAAUAAAGCUAUGCCAUUUUAUAUAUAUAUAUAUGUUAAUCGUGUCAUUAAUAAAUUUUGAGUACUUGUGUAUUCAUAUCUCGAACACAAAUACGAGAUAAAAACUCAUAUUUUUGUUGUCAUAAUUUAUUUUUGACCCGAUUAGAUCUAGAAGUAUAAAUUUACAAUUAUUUUUAAUAUUAAAAAAUAAAGAUUAUUAAUAUAUUAUAUUUAUAAUUAUAUUUAAAUAAAAUAUUUUUAAUUGCUGAAUUAAAUUUUUUAUAUAAUAAAAUCUCAAAUUCACAUUCUUAUUUAAAUUAUUAAUUUGAAAGUAAGGUUAACCCAAAUUCUUUAUAUUGAGUGCAGUAACUAACUUUGCUUUUAGGAUCAAAUUUUCCACAAAAUCAAAAGAAAGCAAUUAUUGCUAUUGUCUCUUUCAUUACAUCUAUUUAUCUAAUUUACAAAGGAAAAUAUAUAAUGUUGACCCCAAGUCAAGUGGACAUUUUGCUUUCACCAAACAGUAACCAAACAUUAUAAAUUUCUGAUGCCCUCACUUCAUUGAUGUCAUUUAUGCUACCAUCAUCUUACUUUUUUCUCUUUUACAUGUUUCACGUGGAUUCUAUUUUUAUAGAGAAUUGUUAGUAUCAAACAUUGAUUUUCACUUUUAAUUUUUAAACCAUUAAAUUAGAAGGAAAACGUAUAUAAAUGUACUUAAAUUUACACUCUUUUUAUUGUCACAAUAAAAAAAGUGUUAAUCGAGUUAAAACUCAACUAAUUAUUAUCAUUAACAAAAUUACAAUUUCAUAAUUUUUAUUGUUUAAAAAAAUUAAGUUUCAAUAAAAAAAAUGUCUUAUGAAAUGACAAUAGAAAUUUUGGUUAAUGUGGGAUUGUUCUUAAAAAAUGUUUCACCAAUCAACUUGAGGUUGGCUAACAUUUAUCAUAUGAUGAUGAUGGUUGGUAUUUUGAAAUCAGGCAUCAAACAAAGUGUACAUACAUGAGGCCUUGUUUAAAUUCUACCUUCUUGUUAAUAAGAGAGGUCAAAAACAAUGCGGUUCUUGCGAGGAAUGGGAGAUACAUAUAAUUUCUCUGGGCCAAACUCUCUUCAAAAUGUCUAAGCAAAGAAUAGGAAGAUGCAAGCUACUCAAUAUAAAGAGAAAUCUGGGAUCAAUAUAUCAUUAGUAGAAGAACAAAGGUGAAUUGGUGACUUGAAUCGACUUUUGCUGAUAUUAACACCUUAUUUAAAAUGUUGAUAUCGUGGUGGCAAGAUAAGGUUAUAAAAGUAUACAACAAAAAUAAAUAAAUAAAUAGUCAAAUGAACUUAAGAGUUUGAGAUCGAUAUGUUACAUAUUCAAAGUAAUAAUUUUGAUUGUUUUUUAAACUUUUAAUUUCAGCACUAUGUUAUAGCCCCUUACAUUGAAUUUAUUCAUAUGAUGAUAAUGGAACAGUAUGCAUCUGUCACAGAGUUAAAAUUUUAGUCUAGAAAAUUAUGCGGUCUUGGACGAUUCAUUUUUAAAUCCGCGUUAGUCUAUCUCAUUGAAAAGGCGAGAAUUCUUAAAGAAAUUAUUUACGAUAUUGAAGCAAACUCUCAAGCGAAGAAGCUACAAGCGAACAUAAAAGCCACAAGAAAGCAAAUGCAUAUCAAAUGUUGAAGUAAAUGCUCUUAAAAAUAUUCUAUUACUUUUAAUGGAUUACACUAAAUGUAAAAUGGAAUGAUUAAAAAUGAAGCGAAGGCUUCUAUUUAUAGUUGAACUAUCUUAAAUUCAACAGUACAAUUUAAAUUACAUCGGCGGCUAGGUUCAAAGCCUAUUUGUAAUAUAAAAGUGCUAAAAGAUUUAAACACUAUACAAUUUUAUUCCUUAGAAUUUACAAUAUCCAUCAUGGUAACUCUAGUUUACUAGUAUGUUUUAACUGAACCAUCAAGGCUUCAAGUAAAUAGACUUCUCUAUGUACUCCACAAAUCAGACCAUUUCAUAUGGGUUAAAUGAGUGCUAAAAACCUAUUAAUACAAUAUUAAUCUCAAUAAUCAAAAUUUGGUCAACGACCCUAACCUCGAAAAUAAUAUUUUACAAGACAAAUUAAAAAACUAUAUCAACAUCAAGGAAAUAAACAAAUAUAUUAUUCAAAUCAAUUUCUUAAUUAAUUUGAAUUUUGAAUGUCCAUAAAAGGCGUUUCAAUUUCAUUUAUUUAUUGAAUCAAAACUCAAACAUCAUGAGAAGUAACCUUCCAAAAACUCAAUGCAGGUUUGCUUUGUGUUUUCUUCGUCCAACAAAAAACCAAAUGUAAGCGUAGUAAACUAAGGGUGGGUUUGGAUGAACGGUACGUUUAUUUGCAGUUAGUAUAAAAAUAACAGUGACAAUAAGAUCAAAUAUUGUAGCGAUACUGUAACGUAAGAUAAAAAAUAAACUAAAUUCACCGCAUCGCACGACACUGUCCAUCCAAACUCACCUUAAAAGACUUAUAAAUCGACUAAACUAUUCAAAUCUGUUAAAUUGAGGGAAAACCUCAGUAAAAUUCCAUCGUAAUGAGUUAGAUUGGACCACUAUUUGAAAAAAGAAGCUAUAUCCUUUGCCAUCUUCUAUUAUCAGCCCAAUCCAGCUCAGAAUUAUUUAAUUUUAUUUAUAAAAAUCAUAAAUAUUUAUUUUUUUAUAAUUUAAAUAAAAAUAUUUUUAAUUACAAAGUAAGAAUCUGAGUAAUUGACCAUUCAAAUAUCUCGUACUGCACAAAUAACUCUAGUCUGUAAUUUUCAUGAAAGUCCUUGAAAAGAAAAAUAAAGCAAUUGUUGCUGUUUGUCCCUUUCAUUAGUGAUAGAUGCUUAUCCUUUCGCUUGGAAAUAUUAGAAUGAUUUUAGAUGUACAUUUUUUUUAUAUUUUCCAUGUAGAAGAUUUUAGAUACAUAUUACUUAGAAAUGAUAAUUGAUAUUAGAGGUUCUUAGAAAUUGUAUAUUUAUUUAGAAUACAAGUUGAAUGUAUACCUUAAUUAAAUUAUUUAUAUUAAAUAAAAUUUGAAAUAUUUAUAUAUAUAUAGUUAAUCAUAUGAUAUUUUCUAAGUGCCACUGAUUAAACAAUUCAAAAAGAUAAAAUUGGGUAAAAGUAUCAUGGAUGCCUCUGUAAUAGGACUCAGAUUGUAUUUUACCUUAUCUACUAAAAAAUGAGCAAAUUAGUCCCUAUACGUUACAUCAAAAAUUAAAAUUGGUCCUUUCUAUUAAUAAUUUCAUCUAUUUGUACCGUUAAAAAUUAGCGUACUGACAACUAACAAAACAAUGACAUGUGGAGUGACAUAUAUACAGUGGCGAAGCCAGAAAAUUAUUUUGGGGUAGAAUUAAAUUGUAGAUUUUUAUGAUAGUAAAAAUGCAAUUUCACUAUUUUAAUAGUCUAUAUCUUUAUAAUUUUUAAAAGAUUAAAUCAAAAUUUUAUCGUUUUUAGGAGGGACAAAGUAUAAUUUUACCAUUACUAAUUUAAAAUUUUAUAAAUUAUAAAAUUUUCCAUUUUAGGGUGGUCGGGGCCCUGCCAGCCCCUGACUUCAUCACUGCACAUAUACAUCGUGCUAACAUAUAGAGACUAGUUUUUAAUGAUAUAAAUAGAUGAAAUUUUAAUAGAAUGACUAAUUUACUAUUUAAUCUAACAUACGAGGAUUAAUAUACCUAUUUUUCUAGUAGAAGAGAUAAAAUUAAUCUAACUUCUAAUACAAUAACCUUCAUGAUACUUUUACCAUAAAAUUGAGGAAAAAACCUUCUAAAUUUCCAUGUGAAUGAGUUAGAUUCCCAUCGGCUGAAUUGGACCACCGUCUAAAAUUUUUGUAUAUUCUUUUCCAUUGUCGAAACCAUUUUCAAAUCGAUGUUUUGGAAAAUGGGAAUCGACUUUAAGAAAAACGAAAACGGGAUUCGCCACCAAUCUUUUUAGGUGUGAUUGGAUCACCUUAUAAAAUGUUUUGUUUUAAAAAAUUAAUUUUGGUCUACGAAAGUCGAGAAAACGUAUUCGGGAGUCGGUUACGUACGAGGAAGGGUUAGCACCCUCGUAACGCCCAAAAAUUGGUACCUAAUUGAUUAUCAAGUGUCUUUAAUGUCGGAAAUUUGAAAGUUUUAAGAUGCAAUCCCCUUUAGAAUAUUUUGAUUAGGGUUCACUUGUAUCAAAUGAAUCAAAAUAUCACAUCCGGUAAGUUAGGACGCAAUAUUUUUAAGACAUUCGAAGCUAAGCUAACCUUUUGAAAAUCUCUAUCUCGAAACAACAAAACGCCAUAUCCAGUAAGUUAGGACACAACGCUUUGAAAUUCCAAGACAGUUGCUCGUAUUUUGAAAACCCUAAAAACUUAGAAGGGUGCUUGACUAUUCAAACUCAACGAGAAAAGUUGCAACCCAGUAAGUUAGGGCACUACCUUUCUCGAAGCUUCCAAAUACCAAGCAUUGCCUUUUUAUUUGAAAACUUUGGAAUGUCCUUUUUGAUUAAUGCAUGAGGAAUGAUAUUAACAUUAUAGAAUAUAACAUACAAGAUAGCAUAUUACAAAUAAUAGGUAGCUAAAACAUGCAUUUAAACAAUUCAAUGGCAAUAGUGCAAAGAUCAUACACUAGAUACAUACGUGUUUAAAAUUACAUCAUGCACAUAAAGAUACACGUAGCAUAUAUUGAAGAUGAAUAAGCAAAACAUAUAAACAUGCAAAAUAAUAAUUAACUUAAAAGUGAUGCAUGAUAUACAAUUUGACAUAAAUUACACAAUAUACACUUCCACUUUAGGCAUAUAUCAUCAUAAAUGACCUAAAUGUUCAUGUAUCAUUGUUUCAUGCAAAAAUAAAACAUAGAGUAUAAUGAAUUCAAUAACAUAACAUCUAUAUAACAACAUUUCAUGCAAAUAUACCUUAAAUUAAUAUAAAUAAUUAACUUCCAUGCAAAUACGUAACAACAAUAACAAAUAAUUUACUAAACAAUAACGAAAUAUAAAAAAUAAGCAAAGUAUAAACAUAUGAAAUAUAAAUCAAAUAAAAAUAUUCAUAGACUUUAGAUUAAUAUGAAAAUAAUAAAAGAAAACCCAAAAAGAUUAAUAUAUAAAAACCAUAUUAUAGGGUAUACUUUAUAAUAAAAUAAAAAUAAUGUAAAGAAACAUGGUAAAAUAGAGUGUAUGAUAUAAUUUACAAAUAAAAUAUAUACAAAUCAUAUAAUAAAUAAUAUAAAAAUAUAUAAUAAAAUCUAUAAUAUAUAUAUAAAAGAAAGAUAGAUAUUACAAGGAACAAUAGAUAAUAUCGCAUGUAAUAAAAAUGCAUAAAUAAAAUAUAAUGAAAUAUGAUAAAAAAAUAUAAAAUAAUAAUAAUAAUAUAAUAAGUAUUUUUAUAUAAAAAUAUAGUAAUAUAAAUAAUAUAUAAUAAAAAUAUAUACCAUAUAGUAAAAAAUAAAUAUACCAGAAUGGAUAAUAAAAAAUAAUAUGUACUGCUUAUAUAACUAAUAUUUAAAAAUAUGUAAAGUAUUUAAAAUAAAUUUAAAAAUAUAAAAAAGAUCAAAAUUGAAUCUAAUUAAGGAAUUAGGGGUUAAUUGCAAAAUAAACGAAAACUCUGGGCCUGAUUGAAAUGCGCAUUAAAUUCAGAGGACUCUUUGGUAAUUAACCCUAAUCCUAAAAUGACAACGUUUCCACCAACUCAGUUUUAAAGCCACUAUGAGGAUCAAAUCGAAAUAAAAUUAAAAUAUUAGGGCUGGAUUAAAAAUGAAAUUAUAAAGAUAAAAAAACGAGAUGACCAAUUGAGCAAUUAACCCAAGUAUCAAAAACACGCGGAUCCUCCCCGGGUUACGGGUCAACACGCGGAUCUUGAGGCCUUAAAACGAUGCCGUUUCGGUCACUAAACGAUCACCCCAACACGGCGUCGUUCAGGAGGCUUAUAAAUACAAAAAAAAAACCUCUAAAGUUUCAUUUUGAUUCGUGUUUUAAAAAAAAAAUUUAGAAAGUCCUCUGAAAGAGGAAGGAAAAGGGGCCCUCGGAGCUCUGGCCAAGCCUCCGUCAUCGGGCGGUUCACGCGCUUUACGUGCCCACGCGCCGCCCUUUUCGCCGUCGUACACGACCUUCAGAGGUUAGAGACCUCGAUUUCUGACACAAGAUGAAAGGUAAAACCCUUUUUCACACUUUAAAACUAUUUAUCAAGUUGUUUGUGUAUGUAUAUGCUUUGAAUAUGAAAAAUAAAAAUAAAAUAGAAGAUUCACCUCUUAAAAAAAAACUGCUUGUAUUUGCUUUUUUUCUGCCUCCAUAUUCGUAUCUUUUAUAGGUUACAAAAAGGGCUUUUAUAGCCACUGUUUCUAUUACAUUUUGGGAAAGAAAUAUUUUAUUUCUUUCCAUAUCUAUUUUGUUCGUUUGCUGCUGUUUCUUUCCUUCUUUUGCAGGUAACGCCGAAAAAUUUGGCGGUGAUGGAGGCUUGACGAUGGUGACGACAGACCAGUCACUGACUGCGCACUGGCUUGCAGCGCUGAUGGAGGGUAGCUGGAUCGACGAACGGACACGAGUCGGAGGGGCGUGACUCUUGGUCUGAUUACGGCGCAAACCCUAACUAGGGUUCCCUGAAGCCGAAGAUAGAUUGGGCCAAUUGGGCCGAUUAAGUCCUGGGUUCAGGGGUAGGGUGUAAAUGGGUCUACUGGGAAAUUCUAAUUUUAGGCCUACGGUCUGUUGUAAAUGGACUGUUUAAAUAUUUAUUUAUUAUUUUUUAUUUUUUAAGGCUCGGGCAGAUUUGGGCUAUUACAGCCAUUGUUUAUUAUCAACCCGUUCCGACUCAGAAAUUCUGAGUUCAUUAUUUAUUUAAUAUUAAAAUGUAAAAAAUAUUAUUUAUGUAAUUUAACUUAGACUCAAUGAUUUACUUGGUUCUCUAAUUUUACAAAAAAAAGUCAUUUUAGCCCAUAGUUUAACUUGUCUUUUAGCCAUUAAACUUGUGGUCUUUGUUAAAUAACCCCAAAAUGGAUAAAAAAAUUAACGUCUGUUAACUUUGCUAAUGUGGCAUCCACGUGUAUGAUAAGAAAUUAAUUUAAUUUUUAAAAUUUUAAAAAUAUUAAAAUUAUUUUCUUAUAAUUUCUAUACUUUUUUAAUAAUUUUAUUUUUUAAAAAUAAUUUUUAUAUUUUUUGAAUUUUUAAAAUUUUUAAAAAGUAAUUAUUAAUGUGACAUACAUAUGGUAAUCCAUGUAGAUGUCAUGUCAACAAAGUUAACAUACGUUAACUUCUUCAUCCAUUUUGAGAUAAUCUAACACACAACACAAGUUUAAAAACUAAAAGAGACAAAAAAAAUUUGAGGGUUAAAAUAUUUUUUUUUGUAAAGUUGGAGGGUCAAAAAAGAUAUUAUGUCUUUAAUUUAAAUAAAAAUAGUUGUAUUAAAAAAUAAAAAUUGGGUAAUUAACUCAAAGUGAAAUUUAUUUUAUCUCAAAACCAUUUAAACAUAUUGUUAAGGUUGUUUGAAUCAGAUUUGAUCGGCCAAUUGAAUUGGAAAUCGGAGACGGUCAUUGAAUUAAGCAAAAAUUGAUUGACCCAAAUUUUUAAUGAUUUAUUUAAUUAAAUUGGAUUGACCGAUUAAACUAGUCAAGUUAAAUUUGGGCAUAUUACACUUAAGAAAUGACCUACAUCACCAAGGCUUAACGUUUUGAUUCAUCUAAUCACACCUAGAGGUUCAAUUUAACAGAUUUAGGGUUGGAAUCCUAGCAACCGCAAUUCAUUUCCUCUUACCCCAGACUAUAGCCUACGUUGCAGAAGGAAAAUCCUUAGAGAAUCUUGUUGGGCAUGGGCCAAAGGUCUCACAAUGCUACAUAUUUAUAUGUAGUGGGGGCAGCUAUUUUUUUUGAAGUGUGAAAGUGUGCGUGCUUCAAGUUAAUUAAAGAGAAAAAAGUGGGGAGAGAAAACUGCAUUUUUUAUUUUUUACACAAACCAUCCUUUGUAUUUUCUCCUAUCAGCUGAGGUCUGUUUAGUAUCCGUUGAAGCUGAUUUUUUUAAUGGUAGUGAGUAGACUAAAAAAUAUUUAAUGUGUGACGUUGAAUUAUAGUUUCGGGUUUUGAACUUUUAAAAUCAAUAAAUUUUUGAUAAUAUUUUUAUCUUUUCUCUCAAAGUUUGCUUAAAAUUAUCCGGUAAUAGUCUUAUUUAAAUUGUAUACUUUUUAUUAGGGUUUGGUUAUGAUCUUAUAAUAAAACUUUAAUUACAGUAAAUUUUUUUGUGGACUUUCAAAGUCACAUAAUUUUUACCCUUUGCCAACAAAUAAGGUAAAUUUUGCAUCUGGUUGAGUCCCUUUUCUCAAAACUUGUCUCAACAGAUCAAACAUAAAUUUAUUUGAAAAAUAAAUAGAAAUUAUUAUUUAUAUAAUCUACGUGAUAUUAUUAUGAAAGCGUUUUUAUCUUCCAUAAAAAAAAGUAUUUUAAUCUUUUCAAUUCAUUUUUUUAUAUAAAAUCAAUAAAGAUCUCAUACACGAUGAACUAAACAUUAUGAUUUUAAACUUUCAACUUUACUAUUUUAAUUAAAAAUUUAUAUAAAUAUAUAUUUACAUAUUUAUUUGACUCAAAUUAUUAAUCAUAUCACAACUUACUUAAAUUUUAAUAAAUUGAUACAUGAAUAUUUAUAUUAAUUAAAAUUUGAAAUAUUUGUGUAUUCAUAUAGUUAAUCAUAUGAUAUUUUGUUGCUACUAAAAUAGAGGAAAAGACUCGUAAAUUUCAAUGGCAAUAAAAUAGAUAUCCCAUAGGCUAGAUUGAACCAUUAUCUUAAAAAAGUUAUAUUCAUUUGGCAUGGUCUCAUUCGAUAAUUCGAGUUUAUCAUUUAUUUAAAAUUAUUUUCUUAAAAUAUUAAUAUAUAUUUAUAUAAUUUAAUUUUUAGAUAAAAGAUUAAUUUUUAUUUCAAACCAUAUUGGAACCCACCAUUGUUUGAAAAGUCAAAUGGGGUGGGCACUGAAAGUAGAAAGUAAUAUUGGUUGGCAAGUUGGGUUAAAAGUUGGCAUGGGAUAAUUGCAAUUUUGGUCCCUAAUUGUAUAGGGACAUUGCAAGUUGAUCCUUGAACCUCAACUAUAAAUAGGCCUAACCAUUGCUUACUUUCUUCAUCCCAUAAUUGCCAUUCUCUACUUAAGGCAUUAUUCUCUCUCUAUUUGUAAAUUUCACUUGUAAUUUUUAGAGUGAAAUAUAUUUGGUAGUGCCCGAGGACGUAGGCAAAAUUUGCUGAACCUCGUUAAAAUUCUGGUGUUCUUUAUUAUUUGUUUUGCAUAUUUUGUGAAUGUGAUUGUAGUGAUUUAUUGUGCUAUUAAAUUACGAUAGAGGGAUAUUCUGGCUAGGAAAGACUUGGUAUUUAAGUGAUCUUUGUGAUCUACCUCUCUUUCCUGGGAAUUGAACUUAGUGUGAUUUUUCAGUAUAAUAAUUUUACUCUUUUACACGCUUCCGCGCAACAAUUGGUACCAGAGCCAAGUUCGUACUUGGGGAAUACGACCGUUUACGGUACUAUUCACAUAUACGACACUAUUUAUGUAUACGGUACUAUUCACGUAUACGACACUAUUCACAUAUACGGUACUGUUCACGUAUGCAGUAGUUGGGAUUGAGGAGAAAAAUGGCAGCAGCAUCGUCAUCAGCAAGGACUACUGUGACAAAUGCAAAAUUUGAAGUAGAGAAAUUUGACGGUACCAAUAAUUUUGGUAUGUGGCAAUGUGAGAUCCUGGAUGUCUUAUGUCAGCAAGAGCUAGAUAUAGCCCUUGAAGAAAAACCUGACAAGAUGGAUGACAAGGAGUGGGCCAAGAUCAAUAGACAGGCGUGUGGUACAAUCCGCCUAUGUUUGGCCAAAGAGCAGAAGUACUCUGUCAUGAGGAAGACAUCAGCGAAGAAGUUAUGGGAUACACUAGAAGAAAAGUUUCUAACGAAAAGUCUUGAAAAUAGGCUUUAUAUGAAAAAGAAACUUUAUCGAUUCACGUAUGCACCCGGUAUGUCGAUGAAUGACCAUGUGAACUCAUUCAAUAAAAUUUUAGCAGACUUGCUAAAUUUGGAUGAGAAAUUUGAAGAUGAAGACAAGGCAUUAUUGUUGUUGAAUUCCCUUCCUGAUGAAUAUGAUCAUCUUACCACCACAUUGCUUCAUGGGAAGGACACGAUCACAUUUGAUGCAGUCUGUAGUGCGUUGUAUAGAUCUGAGACUCGAAAGAAAGAUAAAAGAGAUCACAGAGAUACAACCACAGAAGUCUUAACAGUAAGAGGUCGUUCACACAGCAACAAAUCUGGUAGAAGGGGAAAGUCCAAAGGGAGACCCGCCAAAGAUGAAUGUGCCUUUUGCCGUGAAAAAGGGCAUUGGAAAAAGAAUUAUCCUAAGCUACAAAAGGGCAAGGCUAUUUCUAAUGCAUGUGUAGCGGAGCAUGAUGAGGAGUCAGACUUUAGCUUGGUUGGAAUGGCAAUGGCAUGUCAAACGGAUGAGUGGAUUUUAGAUUCAGGAUGUACUUACCAUAUGUGUCCUAAUAAGGACUGGUUUUCUAGUCUUAAAGAGCUAGAAGGUGGAAUUGUUCUUAUGGGCAAUGAUAGUGCUUGUAAGACAAUGGGAGUGGGUACAGUCCAAUUGAAGAAUCACGACGGCUCAAUCCAAGUCUUGACAGAUGUUCGCUACGUACCUAGCCUGAAGAAAAAUCUCAUCUCAUUAGGGGCCCUAGAAUCUAAAGGGCUCACAAUCACUUUGAGAGAUGGAUUACUAAAAGUAGUAGCUGGGCAACUAACGGUGAUGAAAGGCACAAGAAGAAAUAACUUGUAUUUUUUAAAUGGAAGUACAGUUAUUGGAUCAACAUCAACAGUUUCUACAAAAGAUGUAGAUUCAGAGGCUACCAGAUUAUGGCAUAUGCGAUUGGGACAUGCUGGUGAAAAAGCUUUGCAGACAUUGGUGAAGCAAGGCUUAUUGAAAGGUGCAAAUUCUUGCAAAAUGGAAUUCUGUGAACAAUGUGUUCUGGGCAAGCAGAAGAGGGUAAAAUUUGGUCCAGCAAUUCACAAUACGAAAGGAAUUCUGGACUACGUUCACAGUGAUGUGUGGGGACCUACCAAAGUAGCUUCUUUGGGAGGUAUGCACUAUUUUGUUACUUUUGUUGAUGAUUAUUCAAGAAAAGUAUGGGUGUAUCUAAUGAAAAGAAAAAGUGAAGUUUUGGAUGCAUUUCUGAAAUGGAAGAAGAUGGUGGAGACUCAGACUGGUCGAAAGGUCAAACGACUUCGAUCAGAUAAUGGUACUGAGUACAAAAACGAUCCAUUUCUACAAGUAUGCCAAGAUGAGGGCAUUGUGCGACACUUCACUGUUCGGGAUACACCACAGCAAAAUGGGGUGGCAGAACAAAUGAAUCGAACUAUACUAGAGAAAGUUCGACGUAUGUUGUCCAAUGCUGGGUUGGGCAAAGAAUUUUGGGCUGAGGUAGUUACAUAUGCGUGCCAUCUAAUUAACCGUUUGCCAUCAGCUGCAAUAAAUGGAAAAACUCCUAUGGAGAUGUGGACUGGUAAAUCUGCUACUGAUUAUGAUUCUUUGCAUGUAUUUGGUUCCACUGCAUAUUAUCAUGUAAAAGAAUCUAAGUUAGACCCAAGAGCAAAGAAAUCAUUAUUCUUGGGUAUAACUGAUGGAGUAAAAGGAUAUCGUCUCUGGUGUCCUGAUACAAGGAAGAUUGUUUUCAGUAGAGAUGUGACUUUUGAUGAAUCAACCAUGUUGAAGUACAAGGAUUCACAAAAGGAUGACAAAACCAGUAGUACUUUGCAGCAGGUGGACUUGAAAAGGUUAACGAUGAUCCAGCUAAUAUUGAAGGGACAAAUGAUGAAGAGGUUCCUACCCAAGAACCUCUACAACAACAAGAUUCAAUUGUAUAUAGAAGGCCAAGAAGAGAGAUUCGUAAGCCUGCUCGCUUUGAUGAUAUAGUGGCCUAUGCACUUCCAAUUACAGAUGAUGAUGUUCCUUCUACUUACACAGAAGUAAUAAGUAACCCUGAUGGUGUAAAGUGGAAGCAAGCAAUGAAUGAAGAAAUGCAGUCUCUUCAUAAAAAUAAGACCUGGGAGUUGGUGACACUACACAAGGGAAAGAAGGCAAUUGGAUGCAAAUGGGUAUAUGCAAAGAAGGAAGGAUUUCCUGAUAAAAAUGAAAUUCGAUACAAGGCUAGAUUAGUAGCAAAGGGUUACGCUCAGAAAGAAGGAAUAGACUACAAUGAAGUGUUUUCUCCAGUUGUGAAGCAUUCGUCUAUUCGGAUUUUGCUAGCCUUGGUUGCGCAAUAUGAUCUUGAACUAGUUCAGCUUGAUGUGAAGACCGCGUUUUUACACGGUGAUUUGGAAGAGGAAAUCUAUAUGACUCAGCCAGAUGGAUUCAAGGUUGCUGGAAAAGAAAAUUGGGUUUGCAAACUGACAAAGUCGCUUUAUGGAUUGAAGCAAUCUCCGAGGCAGUGGUACAAGCGAUUUGAUCAGUUCAUGAAAGGGCAAAGGUACACAAGAAGUAAAUUUGAUCAUUGCGUGUAUUUUUAGAAGCUACAAGAAGGAACGUUCAUAUACUUGCUCUUGUAUGUUGAUGAUAUGCUAAUAGCAUCUAAGAGCAAAGUUGAGAUUGAAAGAUUGAAGACUCAACUCAAUCUCGAGUUUGAGAUGAAAGAUCUAGGAGAAGCUAAAAAGAUUCUCGGCAUGGAAAUAUGGAGAGAUAGAGCUCAUGAUAGAGUUAGCUUGUCUCAGAAGCAGUAUUUGAAAAAGGUACUACAGCAGUUUGGCAUGAAUGAGCAGACAAAACCUGUAAAUACCCCGUUGGCUUCUCAUUUCAAGCUUUCUGCACUAACUAUCUCCUUCGACGAAUACGGAACGAGAAUACAUGUUGCAAGUUCCGUAUUCUAAUGCAGUAGGUAGCUUGAUGUAUGCAAUGGUGUGUACAAGACCCGACAUUUCACAGACAGUUAGUAUAGUGAGCAGGUAUAUGCAUAAUCCUGGAAAAGGACAUUGGCAAGCUGUGAAAUGGAUUCUACGGUAUAUUCAGAAGACCGUGGAUGUUGGAUUACUGUUCAAGCAGGAUAAUACACUUGGUAAAGGUGUUAUUGGGUACGUUGAUUCUGACUAUGCCGGUGAUUUGGACAAGCGAAGAUCAACCACCGGUUAUGUGUUUACACUUGCUGGAGGACCAAUAAGUUGGAAGUCUACACUACAGUCUACAGUUGCAUUGUCAACCACAGAAGCCGAGUACAUGGCUGUAACAGAGGCUGUAAAGGAGGCUAUUUGGUUACAAGGUAUGGCUAAAACCUUGGGGUUGGUUCAGAAGCAUAUUAACGUGUAUUGUGAUAGUCAAAGUGCUAUUCAUUUAGCAAAGAAUCAAGUCUAUCAUGCACGUACAAAACAUAUCAACGUACGAUUCCAUUUUGUGCGGGAAAUUAUUGAAGAGGGGAAAAUUUGUCUUCAGAAGAUCAAGACUGCAGAUAAUUCCGCAGAUAUGAUGACCAAGGUGGUAACAGCAACCAAGUUCGAACAUUGUUUGAACUUGAUUAAUAACCUGCAAGUUUAACAGUUGAAGAAGGCACUAUCAAGUAUUGUUGUCAAAAGCAGAAAGAAUUGUGUGAAGAUAAGAUUAUCGUAAUCAAAUCUUCAAGGUGGAGAUUAUUGGAACCCACCAUUGUUUGAAAAGUCAAAUGGGGUGGGCACCGAAAGUAGAAAGUAAUAUUGGUUGGCAAGUUGGGUUAAAAGUUGGCAUGGGAUAAUUGCAAUUUUGGUCCCUAAUUGUAUAGGGACAUUGCAAGUUGAUCCUUGAACCUCAACUAUAAAUAGGCCUAACCAUUGCUUACUUUCUUCAUCCCAUAAUUGCCAUUCUCUACUUAAGGCAUUAUUCUCUCUCUCUAUUUGUAAAUUUCACUUGUAAUUUUUGGAGUGAAAUAUAUUUGGUAGUGUCCGAGGACGUAGGCAAAAUUUGCUGAACCUCGUUAAAAUUCUGGUGUUCUUUAUUAUUUGUUUUGCAUAUUUUGUGAAUGUGAUUGUAGUGAUUUAUUGUGCUAUUAAAUUACGAUAGAGGGAUAUUCUGGCUAGGAAAGACUUGGUAUUUAAGUGAUCUUCGUGAUCUACCUCUCUUUCCUGGGAAUUGAACUUAGUGUGAUUUUUCAGUACAAUAAUUUUACUCUUUCACACGCUUCCGCGCAACAAACCAAUUCAAAUAUACAUAAUCACAUGAGCUAAGAUUAGUCGAAAACUAUAUAUAAUAAUUUUAUUUGAUACAAUAUAAAUUUUUAUAUAAAUAUUGUGUAUAUAAUAAACAUUAUAAAAAAUAAAAAUAUUUGAUAAAUAUAAUGUUUAGAAUGUAUAAAAAAAUAUACUCGCGAGGAAGGGUUAAAAAUGUAGAUGGUUUCCAAAUGUCUAUGGUCCCAUACGCUUUUGCAGUUGGUGUAAGGGUAGUUGAGUUUAAAAACAAUAGCUUUACUCGUAAUCCAAUAUUCUUUCAUCAAAUCCGGUGGAACACCAAUAUGCUUGCUUCAACAUCUUCUUCUUCUGCUGUUGAUAUGAUCAAAGCAAGGACAUAUGAUGUUUUCCUUAGCUUCAGAGGCGAGGAUACUCGUGAUGGUUUCUUAAGUCAUCUGUACAAUGAUUUGUGUCGAAAGACUAUCGAAACUCUUAUAGACAGCGAAAAGCUUCGAAGAGGUGAUGAAAUUUCCGAGGCACUGUUGACGGCCAUUCAAGGAUCAAGGGUUUCAGUAAUUGUUUUCUCCAAAGACUACGCUUCUUCCAGAUGGUGCUUAGACGAGCUGGUCAAGAUCAUGGACUGCAACAAAUGUGUUGUUCCUGUAUUUUACGGUGUAGACCCCUCAGAUGUACGGAAACAAAGAGGGAGUUUUGCAGAUGCAUUUGCAAAGCAUGAAGAAAAUUUUAAGCAUGAGCUUGAAAGGGUGAAGUCCUGGAGAAGUGCUUUGACUGCAGCUGCCAAUUUAUCCGGUUGGGAUUCACAAGUCACUCGGUAAUUGCAUCUCCUUUUGUUUAGAUUCAAUCCUUUUUAAUUUUUUAAAUUAUACAUAUAUUGAUUUGGAAGAAGAGAGAUUCAGCACAGACUUUUGUUUCAAGCAGUGAUUCAUUUAUGCUAUCCAGAUACUUUAUAUGAAAGACUUAACUUCUCGAUUUCUUUUAAAUAUUUUUGUCAUAUAUUGAAGGACCAUAAUUUUGUAGGCAUAGAGAUCAACGUUUUUUUCGUUCUUUAACUCAAAGUUCACGAUACCUUCAUACGAUUCUCUCAUGCAUAAAAUCUAUUGUCCAGUCUAUUGAUAUAUUUAUUUCCAAGAAAAAAAAGUUAUAAUUUGAGGAUUUAAAAAGGGCUGCAAAUGGUGAAAUUUGAAUUUUAGAUAUAUAUUUGAAUGUCUUUUUUUUUAAGUGACCCUAUGAAUCAAUUGAAUUAAAUUUUGAUUCACUUGAUCAUUUUUAUUCAUUUGCUUCUCUUUCCCUUUUAUUUCUAUCUUAAUUUGUUUCUUCAUUUGAUAUAUAGGCCUGACUCAAUACUGGUAGAUAAAAUUGUCAAAGAUAUAAUGAACAAACUGAAUUGUGGAACCUCAAAUGCUAAUUUAGAAGGUCUAGUUGGAAUUGAGAGGCGGAUGCAGAAAGUUUUGUCAUUAUUUCAAGACGAAAUCCCAGAUUUUCGAAAGCUAGGUAUUUGGGGCAUGGGAGGUACAGGGAAAACUACACUCGCCGAAGCCAUUUUUCACCAUGUUUUAAAUGGUUUCCAAAGCUACUUCUUUCUUGCAAAUGUUAGAGAAUAUGAAGAACGAGGAAAAUUAUUUAAAUUGCGUCAGAAAUUUCUUUCAGCCAUAUUGGAAGAUGAAAAUUUAUGCAUCUCAACUUCCAGAAUUGGAUCAGGCUUUCUUAAGGAUAGGCUUUCUAGGAAGAAGGUUUUGGUAGUUUGUGAUGAUGUGUCUAAAUUAAGCCAACUCGAGUUUUUAUUCGGAGGAAACAAUCGACUCGGUCCUGGAAGUCGAGUCAUCGUUACAACUAGGGAUAAACAAGUGCUUAUCCAGUAUGGCAUUGAUCUCAUUUAUGAAAUGAAGGAAUUAGAUGAAGAUGAAUCAAUUCAGCUCUUUUCUCAACAUGCCUUCAAAAGCAAUAACCCCAUGGAAUAUCAUCAGUUGAAGCUAUCACAGAUGGUUUUAAGUUUUGCUAAUGGAAACCCUUUAGCUAUUAAAGUUAUCGGAUCCUCUCUUUGUGGCAAGACCAAAAGCUACCAAGAAAGUGAAGUAAAGAAACUAAAGCAAGUUCCUAACCCGGACAUUCAGAAACUGUUGAAAUGGAGUUUUGAUGGACUAGAAUGUGAAGAGAAAGAAAUGUUUCUUGACAUUGCUUGUUUCUUUAAAGGGAAGGAUCGAGACAUUGUAACAUGGAUUAUGGAUUCAUGUUAUGGCUUUGCGUAUUCAAGAAUUGAGAACCUCAUUGAUAAAUCUCUUAUAUCUGUUUCACAAAAUCAGAUAGCAAUCCAUGAUUUAUUGCAACAGAUGGGUUGGAAUAUUGUAUGCAAUGAAUCACCUUUAAUGCCUGAAAAACGCAGUAGGCUGUGGAUUCCUGAGGAUAGUUAUGAUGUGCUAACAAAAAACAAUGUAAGGGCCCUGUUCAUUUCCUUCACUUAUACAUGCAUGUAUAUGAUAAUUAUCUUGAGUUCAUGUUUUUGCCUAUAUCUUAACUCCAUAUACUGCUCCUGGGUUUAGGGAACGGAAAUGCUCAGAGGCAUUGUACUUGAUAUGUCCAAACUUGCAAAGUUGGAAUUGGAACCGAUAGCCUUUAUGAAGAUGCAAAGGCUUAGAUUUCUCAAAUUCUAUCAUACUUGUGGAAAAAUCUUACUUUUUAAAGGGCUUUUAUCAUUUCCUAACGAGCUAAGGUACCUUUACUGGGAAGGAUACCCUUUGAGAUCUUUGCCCACCAAGUUUGAUCUAAGGUACCUAGUUGAACUUGAUAUGAGAUAUAGCAAUGUCAAACAACUCUGGGAGGGGAAACAGGUACUCUUUUUACUUUUUAGUAAAUGCAAAUUCUUCUAUAGUAAAAUUAUUAGCUAUUUUUUCUAAUUAGCAAUUAACAAAAAAAAUAUAAUGGAAAAUAUUGAUUAGUAAGCUCCAUAAUUAUGAUUGUUAAUAGCUCUAUUUACUAAUGAUUGGAUAAUAUGAUAAUGUAACAACAAUCAUCAAUGUUUAACAUGCCAUAAUGUCUACAUAUAACAAUAUAAUUUUAAAAAAGUUAUCAUUUUUAUAAAAAAAAAUUUAAAAAAGUUAUCAUUUUUAUAAAAAAAAAUCAUUUUGGUAACUUAAUUUUCAAAAAUUUACAUUUUAGUCACUGAGUAAAAUAAGUAUUUAUUAUUUUAAAGUCGAAUUUGAAAAUAAAUAAUCAACUUUAAAGUUGAAAUUGUACUCGUUUUAAUUGUUUGAAGUUAGAAAAAUAAUGAGCCUACCGAGGGAACACCAUAAUUUCAACUUCUAUUUCAAAUUGAGUUUGAAUUUUAAAAGGAAUUCUAAUUUUAGAUUAAACCAAAAUUUGAGCGAUGUUGGCUCUACCACUCAAAUUAACAUACCAUUUUGAAGAUAGUUUAAUGUUUUGUUGCACUUUCAUGAUUUUUUUGGUCACAUCUCAAUGUACACAAAUUUAUCAAACACCGCGUCCUGUUGCAUGCAGGAUUUAGGAAAUUUAAAGGUCAUCAGACUCCACCAUUCCAAGAAUCUUGUAAGAAUCCCGGACCUCUCAAGUGCUACAAAUCUUGAAAAGAUAAACCUUCGCUGGUGUUUUAACUUGAUUGAGCUUCCUUCAUCCCUUCAACAUCUUGAGAAGCUAACUCUUUUGAAUUUCAGUUUCUGUAAAAAUCUUAGAUCUCUGCCUAGCUUUUAUAAAGCCACAUCCCUCACCAAACUUUAUCUUAGUGGCUGCUCAAAUCUGUUUAGUAUUGGAGAGGUUUCACCGAAUGUCACAAAGCUAUGUUUAGAAGGAAUUGCAAUUGAAGAACUUCCUUCCUCCAUCGAAUGUCUAUCUAAUCUUCGUGUAUUCUACCUAUGGGGUUGCAGGAGGCUUAAAUCUCUCCCCUCAAGUAUUCAUAAACUGAAAUCUCUCGAGUAUUUCGAUCUUCAAGGUUGUUCCAGAUUGGAGAUUUUCCCUGAAAUCAUGGACACUAUGGAGAGGUUAAGGGUUCUUGAUUUAAGUGGAACGGCUUUGAAGGGCUUACCAUCCUCAAUUGAUAAUCUUGUUGGUCUUGAGGAUUUGAGAUUGAACUACUGUGAAGACCUUGUUUGCCUUCCUAAAAGCUUUUAUAAAUUGGAAUCUCUUGAAAAUUUCAAUCUUGGAAAUUGCUCAAUAUUGGAGACUUUCCCAGAAAUCUUGGACACCAUGGAGGAGAUGUAUAAACUUGAUUUAAGCGGAACGGCUUUGAAAGAAUUACCAUCUUCAAUUACCAAUCUUAUUGGUCUUAAGGAUUUGAGAUUGAACAACUGUCAAAACCUUAUUUGCCUUCCUAAUAGCUUUUAUAAAUUGAAAUCUCUUGAGUUAUUCAGUCUUGAAGGUUGCUCGAGAUUGGAGAUUUUCCCAGAAAUCAUGGAAACCAUGGAGAGGCUGUAUGAACUUGAUUUAAGCGGGACAGCUUUGAAGGAAUUACCAUCCUCAAUUGCCAAUCUUAUUGGUCUUAAAUAUUUGGGAUUGAACAACUGUGAAAAUCUUGUUUGCCUUCCUGACAGUUUUUAUAAAUUGAAAUCUCUUGAGAUAUUCAAUGUUAAAGGUUGCUCGAGAUUGGAGAUUUUCCCAGAAAUUAUGGACACCAUGGAGAGGUUGUAUGAACUUGAUUUAAUUGGAACGGCUUUGAAAGAAUUACCAUCCUCAAUUGGCAAUCUUAUUAGUCUUAAGGAUUUCAGAUUGAACAACUGUGAAAACCUUAUUUAUCUUCCUAACAGUUUUUAUAAAUUGCAAUCUCUAGAGAAAUUCAAUCUUAAAGGUUGCUCAAGAUUGGAAAUUUUCCCAGAAAUCAUGGACAGCCUGUAUGAACUUGAUUUAAGCAGAACAGUUUUAAAGGAAUUACCAUCCUCAAUUGAUAAUUUUAUUGGUCUUAAGGAUUUGAGAUUGAACAACUGUGAAAACCUUGUUUGUAGUAAUUCAAAUCUAAUCGUAAAAAACUUGUUUACUGCGGAUGGAGGCAGACCAGUGAAUCAGAAAGAUCUCAAUGGGUUAUCCUCAUUGCACAAAUUAGAUUUAUCUGAAAGCAAUCUUGAGAACUUGCCCACAACCAUCAAACAAUUUCCUUUGCAUGAGUUAAUCUUGAGGAAUUGCAAGAGAUUGAAAUCAUUACCGGAGCUUCCACCAAGCCUGGUAUAUUUAGAUGCAUAUGACUGUACUUCAUUAAAGGAUAUCUCAAGCAUUAAGAAGCUUUUUGAGCAAGAACUGUUUUGUGAGGAUGGAUCGAAUCGAUUCUUGCAGUUGAAAUUUUGGAACUGCUUCAAACUGGGUGAGAAAGGUGUGGGGAAUGAUAUAGAUGCAGAUGACAGCACUUUUCUAGAGGAAGUGUCAAGCAUUAAGAAGGUUUUGAAGCAAGCAGUGUUUUGUAAACCCUUGGUUUGGCUAUUUACCAACUGCUUCCAGCUGGUUCAGAAAGCUGUGAGCAGUGCUAAAACACCAAAGUUGGAGAUGCCAUUUGAGCAUAUGGUCACUAUACUAAAAGAUUUUCAUCAGGUCAGCUUCUUCUUCUGGAUAGCUAUAUGCUGAAUAAUCUAUCAUGUUUCUAAUAAUUGUAAUCAAACAGGCACCCCCAGAAAGCAAAAAAAGAGCUUGCAUUAUUACAUGCGUCCCUGGAAGUGAAAUCCCGGAAUGGUUUGAUUUCAAAAGCUUAGGAUCUUCCAUAAACAUCCAAUUGCCUUCAGAGUGGUGCUCUAAUAAUAGCUGGAUAAACUUUCCAUGUUUCGUUGCUUCUGCUGUUGUUUCAUUCCCAGACUCUUCUUAUAGUGGUAGGGGAUUUGGCAUUAGAUGUGAAUGUCAUCUAAAAUCCUGUAACGGCGACAAUCAUUGCUUUAGUUGUUCUUCCUCCUUUUCAUUUGGAAGUCGAUUGUCAGAUCACGUGUUCCUCUUGUAUGAUGGUUUCAAAGUUAGGGAGAUUGUUAAAAUUGAGGCAUCAAACAACCGUAUUUACAAUGUGGCUUCCUUUCAUUUCUACAUUGAAGGGUGGGGUUCCUCACAAUGCGAGGUAAAACAGUGUGGAAUUCAUCUAUUAUUUCCAAAUUAAGGAUUAAAUGUAUGAGAGCUCAAUGAUGCUUUAUCCUCAUUUUUGUUAUUUCAGCUAUACUGAAUUUCACACCCUAAAUAUGCUUACAAAAUAUUUAACAUAUUACGUAUUUAUCAUUCGUUUUAUUUAUUAUUGUAACUUAUUUUUAUUAAUGUUUAUUUUUUCUCAAAUUUUAUGUCUUCUUUUUCAUUUCUUUAUCAUUUAAACACAAUUAGAAAUUUAAUGCAUGUCUAAAUUGAUUUCAAUAUAAAUAAGCUUAAAUACUCAUUUAGUUAUUGAAUUUGUCACUUUCUCUCUCAAAUUGGUAUUUAUGGUUUUUUCGCAAGUUAGUGCCAAAUUUUCAUUCCAUCAAGAGUUUUGGUAUCUUUUUUAUAAUGGUGUUAAGUGCGAGACAUAUGAAAUUUUUAGAUUGUGUUAUGUUAGCAAAAUACAAAUUUUUAAAAAAUAAAAAUUAAAAGGAAUACUUAAUUUUUUUACUGGAAAAAACUUGGACAUAUGAUUGUCCAUGUUCAUUCAUUCCAAAGCUUAUUUAAAAAAAACUUAGAAAUAUUUUUUAUAAAGUUUUAAUUUUUUAAAAAUUUUAUAAAUAUGUAAAAUAUUAUUAAAAUUUAUAAAAAUAUUAAAUGAAAUUCAAAAGAAUUUAAAAAUUAAUAAAAACCUAUUUAAAAGUUAAGUCCAAAAUGAAUUUGAAUUUUAUUUUUGUCCGGGUACAAUGUAAAUUUAGAAAACCUUUUGUUCGGAUUAAUUCAAGGUUUUUUUUAUAAAUUAUAUAAAGUUUAAAAAUUAUUAAAAAUUAAUUUGCUUUAAACAUAUAAUUUGUGUAUCAACCAUUAUUUACAUGAACGAGUCCCUUUUUUUUCAACCAUUAUUUUCAUUCUUUUUUGUACAAACAACAUUUAGGAACUUUGACUUCUUUGGUUCAAAAGUACAAUCUACAUUCUUUCAAUAACUUAGUAGCACCUACUCUUUUCAAUAUUAUAUAUAUAUAUAUAUGUGGCAGUUAGGGGACAUUAGGCCUCUUUGUUCUCUUCCUUGCAAUCUAAUUAGCCACAAAGUCUGAUAAUGGGACAUCAUCAUUAGAAAUGGAUUAAGUCUUUCCUUUAUCAGUUGUUUUUCUUUUUUGUGUGUGCACGUGCUCAAAGGCUUCUUCUACUGCUUUAGUUGUUGUUGCUCUUGUCAUGUAUCCAAGAGAUUUCAAUCUUCAAUAAUGGUUUUUUAGAAGUAGAACAAUAAAUCAGAUAAAAAAAAGUCAUGUACUAGAGGUUUUUGAGGAUUCAUAGCAACAAUACCUUUAGACAAGUAGUAGGUUCAAUUUUAAUUAGUGGAGGAUCAAUUGGGCUUUCAACAGCUUCAAUAACAUUACUUGUUGAGGCUCCCUAUAAUUUGCUUUUCCAUACUAGAGGUUGAGAUGAGGAGAUCUUAGAUCAAGAUGCUAUUUUAGAAGAGUUUGAAGGACUUGAACGCUGUUUUUUGCUUUCCUCUUGCUAUUGAUGUAACAUUGAAGAAACUUGGAAAAAAAUUUAGGGUGCGUUUGUUUGCAGGGAUAUAAUUUUCCAGAAAAUAUUUUCCUACUUUUACAGUGUUUGGAAGCUUGAAAAUAUUUUACAUUUGAAAAAUAUUUUCCAAACACGGGUAAAAUAACCUGCAAUUUGGGGAAAAUGUCUUACCCUUUUGAAUUCGGUAAGACAUUUUUCGGAAAAUGAUGCCUUCUUCUCCCUUUUCCCCUUCCCCUUCCCCUUCCCCUUGGGUUGCAAAUCAAAUCAGUGCCAUUCCUUCUUCCGUUUUUCAUUCCUUCUCCUUCUUCGGUUCCUUUUUCGGUUCCUCCUUCAUCCAGGUAAGGCUCCUUCUCCUUCUUCCGUUCUUCAUUCCUUCUCCUUCUUCCGUUAUUCAUUUUCUCUUCCAGGUAAAAGUCUGUCGCAUAUCUUCUCUUCUCAGCAUAUUCUGUUUUGUUUCCUCUCUUUCCCUCUUUCUCAGGCAAAUCUACCAUGAAUUCUUCGCUGGGUCUUGGCUUAAGGUAUAGCAUAAAACUAUUUUUUUCUUGUUGUUCUUUACUUGUCCACACUUUUAAUCAAUUUUAUGCCUGAAAUUUGUUGCCUUUCUUUGUUUCUUUGAUUCUUUGUUGCCUGUAACGAAAAAUCUUGAUGCUCUGCCUUCAGCAGCAACUACACUUAUAGAAGGUGAAACGAAUAAUAAUGUUUUACCUUUAAAAAAAAAGUUAACCAAAAAGAUGCUAUGGUCAAGCUAGAGCCCAUCAAACAGAUCAUGACCGAUUGGGAGAAGCAUAAUGAUGCAGGUCUCAAGGCACAAUUUCAGACCCAUGGAUGUGAUGGAUUCACACUACUUCAAGGCUCAACAACAAUGUCAAAGGCUAAGCAAAUUAAAUCAGGACUUGAUCAAAGACAAGAUUCGAGGAUGAAUCUUUUUGAGGAAAUGGAGAAUGAUAAAUGCACAGAUGGGGUGAAAUUUAUUAGAUUCUAAUCAUCAAAAUUGCCAAUUUUCAGGCUUGGGAAAUCAGCAUACUUUUGACGAAUUUUUGGAUGGGUUCCUAGCAUUUCUGGGUUGAGAUGUCUCAUGGUGUUUGAAUAUCUAUCUCUUAGCUUCGAAACGCAUUUUGAAUCACUCAAUUUUGAGUUCGGGAGCUCAAGUUAUGACCAUUUUAGUGAAGACUACGCGAGCAGAAUUUCUGAGACGGGAAUUACGAGUUUUGGGCUUUUAAUUUGAGUUUAAAUCAUAUUGGGCUUGGGUUUUAGGUUUAAUUUUUAUUAUAUAUGAGCCCAAUAUUUUAUUUAUCAGCUCUUAUUAUUUUAUUAUUGUUUUAUUCCGAAUUUUUGAUAAUUAUUAAGUAUUUUAAGUUAUUUAGGAAUUUUAUCUUAACAAGAAAGUUUAAUUUAAAACUACUUCUUGUUUAAAUUAAAUUAGAGUUCUAGUAUACUUAGGAGUUUUAUUUAGAUUUAUUUAGCCAGCCUAUAUAUAGGCCUUCGCAUUGUACACAAAAUAGACAAUUCAUUAUUAUUCUAUUUCUCUUUUGAGUAAUAAAUUCUCUCUGAGUUUUUCUUUUCAAGAAUUUCACUUGAGUUUCUUUUAGAAGAGUUUUAACAAUCUUUUUAGAUUGUGGGGAUCAUCUUCAAACUUUUUCUUGCCAAGGUUUUUAUCUUGGAGGGGAAAUUAGAGCUGUUUGAAGGGGGUUGUGGAUUCUUCGUGUUUCUAAGGCUUCUUAGGACUUCUACAAGCCAUGUUCUAUCUUUUCAUUUAUCUUCUUUAUUCACUUUCUUAAUCUUUGAUUUAUUAUUUGUUUUAAUUAUUUUAUCUAACUUGGAUUUAAUUUCGUUUCAGGUUGUGUCAAAAAAUCCAAGUUUCUUUCCGAAUGUCUAGAGCCCUAAGUCAAUUCCGCGACUUUGACAAACUUUACGAUCCGCUUUCACGUUCAUCCUUCUCACCCUUUAUCACAUAAUUUGAGCACAGAAUUAGAGUCUUUGUUGGGAGAAUUGCCUGAAAACAUUGUUGACUUUCUUAAAGAGCAGAGUUUUAGUGAUGGUCAAAUGGGUGAGGAUGAGAUUGAGAUCGAUAUUAAUACUCUAAGUCAUGAAACAUUGUACAAAUUGCAUAAAAUUUUGGAUAACUAUUUGCUAAAGAAGCAGAAAAACCAAGCAAAAGUUGAAUCCUGUGAUAUAGAGGUAUCCUUAUGCAUCUAUCUCAUCCUUUGGUGCCUUUCUUUUUCUUUUAUCCAAAAUGCAACAUUGGCAUUUAUGAUAUUGCUUUGUCUUUUCCGUUUUUGUAGCUUCUUAAUGAGUCAGGCUUUAGCAAUUCAUCAAUGCAACCGUGUAAAGGUAAUUUACCAACCUCUGUGCAUUUUUGGAUUUAUUUACAGAUAGCAAGGUAGUAGUAAACCAAAUCAUUGCAAAAACUAAUAUUUCUUCUCUUUCUUGUUCGGUAAUGAUCAAGUUGAUGAGGUCAUAGAUAUAGUUGGUAGCAGUUACCCUCCAGUAGCAAUUGAGAAAGGGUUAACCCAUAGAAAUAGCAAAUGUUGUAGUUCCAGUGGAUCUAGUGGUGAAUCGGGCUCUUCUUCUAGUGGUUUGUACAAUUAUACUGUAAUGAACUUUUCCUUUAUUUAUUAUGCUUAAGAGAUCUUGUUUCGAGCAAUUGUUGUGUGUUUGAGCAUGUUGUUUCUGCUUUAUUAUUGAAGAAAACUUAAAGGAAAUAUAUGUUUUGGAUAUGGGAAAAUAUAUGUAUGAAAAAAAUUCUAUGUGAAAGUUAUCUCUACUAAGAGUUCUUAUUUUUGUUGAGCUUAUUCACAAUUUUGUAGAUCAUAUUUUCUAGCUUGGGAUCAUUCUUUGAUGCUCUUCAUUGUUGUUGAGUGGUUGAUAAAAUGUUUCCAUGUUGUUGUUGUUGUGUUUUUUGUGUGUGUGUGUGUGCUAUUCCAUUCUUUUGUUAGGUUUCUACUCAAUUCUGUGUAUUUUUUGUAUCUAUCCUAAGGUGUAGAAGACUCGGAUUAGAACUUAAUCUUUAGGUAUUUGGCUUUUGGCUUUUUCCUUUGAGGAUGACUUCCAAAUAUAUCUCUGUGGAAGAUGUUCAUUGAUGGAAUUGAAUCUAUCAAUCCUUUUUCAACAGUUAAUUCUGCCCAUUUGCAAACAUAUUCUAUCAUUGUAACAUGCUUGCCCAUCUCUGCUGGCUGGUUUAUUUUAUCUCAGUUGUAUUUAGAUAACUUGAUUCCCUUAAAUUAGAAUAGGGUGAAACUAUGGAGAUGAGUCUUGAAACUUGGGGAUUCAAGAUGAAAGAAAGAAAUGGGAAUAGCUUUUGAGUAACAGGCCAGCUUUGUUUAUGAUAAUUUGUUCACCGUGUGGAACUUUUGACUGAAACUCUUGCUAUCAAUUAUGCAAUUUGUUAUCUUAGGUCUUCAUGCGAAUAAUAAUGGUCACCAUUUUUCUGAUUUUUGAAGUUUCUCUAGUUAGAACCAUUUUUGUUAAUUUUUUUGCUUGAGAUUUGAUGCCCCCUGCCUACUUCAUGUUAGUGAUGCAAGUUAAAUUGGGGACCAUCUAAAACAAGCUAUAAAAUCACGUGUUAUAAGGAUUACGUUGGACAUGCUUCACGGUAAAUGUAAACUUGUGCCAUUUCUUUACGGAAAAAGAAAAAAUGUAAACUUGUGAUGUCAAACUUGAGGACUAUUUGCUAAAGAGUUAUUACAAAACAGCUUCAUUGAUUGCAGUUAGUACCAAGGGAGCCACCAUUUUUAGUGGAGCUGAUUGUAGUCAAAUGUAUGAAUAUGGAAAGAAUCUUGGCAUAUCAUUCCAAGUUGUUGAUGACAUAUUGGAUUUUACACAAUCAGCAGAGCAACUGGGGAAACCAGCUAGUAGCGAUCUAGCUAAAGGCAACCUCACAGCACCUGUAAUUUUUGCGCUUGAAAAGGAGCCAAAACUUAGAGAUAUCAUUGAAUUUGAGUUCUGCGAGACUGGUUCCCUUGACGAAGCAAUCGAACUAGUAAAGCAAUGCGGGGGAAUCGAAAGGGCACAAGAGUUCGCAAAAGAGAAAGCUGAUAUUGCAAUCAAGAGUCUCCAAUGUCUUCCUCAAAGUGAUUUCCGAUUAGGGCUUGAAGAUAUGGUGAUGUUUAAUCUAGAAAGGAUUGAUUAGUUUAACUAAUCCAAAACAAGCAGCAUAAUACAUGGCAGAUAAACAUGGCAUGAAGUUGAAGCCUGUACCAAUAUAGAACAGCUUUCUUAGGAUAUUAAUUGGUUCCUUGUCACUAGUUGUAUAUUCAUACAAGGCUUUGAGCUUUGAUUUGAGCUCCUAGUUUCAACGUCUUCAAAUUAUACUUUUGUCUGAGAAAAAAUAAUUUCUCUGUAAAAUUAAAUUGAUGAACAAUAAAGUUUUUGUGGUCAUCAAUAUUAAGUUAAUAAACUUCCAUUAUGUAUACAAGGAAAACCUAUGUUAUAAAGGUUUCUCUUUUUCGUCUUAAAGUAUUUGUGUUUGACGUUUAUCCGAAAAAGUGUGAAUAGGCUUUGAUUAUUUUCAAUUUAUUACGGUUAAUAUUCUAGCUUAAUAAAAAUGUAUUAUUAUAUAUUUAAUUUAUGUAAAAACAAUUUAAAAUAUAAAUUUAUUAAUAUAUGUAAAAACAGCUUUUCCGGCAAAAAUUUUCAAGAAAUCUGUCAAACAAUAGAAAAUAUUUUACACAGAUUCAUCCAAACACAAGAAAAGUAAAUCAUUUUUCAGAAUUUUUAGAAGUAAUUAGUAGUAAAGAAAAGAUUGUGAGAUAGAAUUUUCUUUAGGGCUUUUGAUGGUUGAGGAGUAUUCCAGAUAAAAGUUCAAAAAUCCCUCUAAAUAAAAUAUUUAUGCUCCUUUUGAAAACUUAGAAUUUGAAAAUUUGGAUUUAGAUUUCAGUUAUUAUGUAAAUGGUAAGAAUUUGAGUUGUUUAUGGGCUAAGUCAAGUCUGCCUGAAAAAUGGGAGGGUUUAGAUAAAAAUAUAGACUCAAAAAUGGAUUUGGACAAAAAACAAGGCCAAUUUAGAAAACGGGUCGAGCUUCAGAUAAGGUUUUUUUGGCCCGACCCAACCCAACCCAAUUUUCAAUAAAAAAAACGCUAUUGUUUUUGCUGCUAUUUUCCCACUGUUUUACUACUAUUUCACUAUUAUGUUAUUAUUUUGUUGUUAAUGUUUGAAUAUUGUAUAACACUUGUUUUAUUGUUAUUUUUUCUACUAUUUUAGAAACAUUUGUUUGUUAAGUUGCAUUUAUCUUAGUGUUACUUAAGUAUAAAGAUUUUUUUUAAUUUAUUUUCAAUUUGUUGGAAAACAUUUAUUUUAAUAUUUUUAGUGUAUUUGGCGUAUUAUAUUUUUAAAUUUAUUUAUAUAAAAAAUAAAAUUAAAAAAUUAAUACAGACUAGGUCCGAGUUUUAGCAUGUUUAUCCGAGCCGACUUGGGAAAAAUCUAGACCCAUUUUUCAGGUCAAGCCAAGGCCUAGUAAUCGGGCCUAAAAUUUUGUUAUGGCCCGACCCGUGGACAACUCUAGUAAGAAUGAAAUGAUAUAUUAUAGAUAGAUUAGUUGAGAUUCAAUCUAAUAUAUAUUUAAAAAAAGAGAGUAGAAAAACAUGGAUUUAUCAAAUUCAAAAAAAGAAAUAUUAAGAUUUUAAAUUCAUUAAUAAAUAGACUUCUAACAAAAACUGAAAUUUGAAAAAUAAUCAUAAAUGUUACAUUUCUAAAUAAUUUACUACUCCACUUACAUUGUUUUUUAAAUUCAAAUCCUAAUUCUAAAAUCCUAAUUCUCAAGCGCUACCUAAAAAAAUUGUGAAUAAUUUUUAACCAUAAAAACGACACAAAAGUAGGAGUUUUUGGUGCCUUCUAGCUCACUAAAAAAUUCAAAUUUGCCAGACUCCAACAUCAUUCUCCAACUUCUAAUAAUUAAUUUAAUGCCCUUAUAUCACUAUACUUACCACUUCUUCAAAACUUCAAAUAUUAUAAAUCAAAUUUCAAUGUUAUUUUUUUAUGUCAUUUUGUUGUAGAUUUUUAAGCUUUAUGUUAGAACCUUUGACCAUUCAAACAAAUUUUGGAACAGGCAUAUGCCUUUUCUUGUCUCAUCAACUGUUUAGACAUAUUUUAGAGCAUGUGCAUAUUUCAGUCAAAGUUCAUUCAUGUUGGGAUUCUUGACAAUAAAGAGCCUUGAUUACAUCUGAUUUAAACCGAGGAGAUAAUUUCAUGCUAGAAUAUGGAGCAAUUAUCCUCGUUCAACCGACAGCCUUGGAGAUGAAAGAAAGAAGUAUCCUUAUCCUUUAUCUUUAAGAGUUUUCAAGUUGAUGGAAGAUUGUUUUAUAAAGAAAUUUAUUUAAAUAUUUUUCUAAGAUAAUUUAUGAAGAUAAUUUUUAGAAUAUGUAAUAAAGAUUCAUCUUCUAGCUAUCCAUCACAUUGAAGGAGAGCCUAUAAAUAGGUAGGUCAUUAAUCGACUUAUUCUUUAGCCAUUUUAAGGAUGUGUUAGACACCCCUUGUUUAGAUUUUUAUAGUGAGAUAUUGUAUGUAAUGCUGUGAGAUAUUUGGGAGAAGUGGUUUAUAAUAAUUAGGCUUUAGUAAAUAGUUGUACACAAAUAUUGUGUAUAAAUUCUCCCUUUAUUUGUCCCUUUUGACUCACAUACAUUUUAGGUUUUUUAGGCAAACUUUUUAGUUUAAUCCAACUUUUGUUCCGGCAGAAGAUAAAAUGAAACUGUUUUGAGCAACUGCAGACCAAGUUAUUUAUUUCUACAACAUAAUAAUUGAAACGAAGUACAAAUAAUGGUUUAUGUGAUUUUCAAUUUUGAAAUAAUUUCUUCACAUAUAAACCUAUCACAAACAAAGUAGUACUUGAUAUUUUUCAACAUAAAAACACUCCAUAAUUUAUCAAACAUAAACAUAACACAUACAAACUAGUAGUCAUGAAAGUAUUGAUACGAUCAUUACAAGAACUUCAUUGAUGAUGGUGAUGUGGUAAUUGCCAUGGGUCAUGAAGCAUGGGGGAAACUUUAUUUAUUUGUUCACCCACAUCCAUAUCCAUAGACAUAAUAACAUAUCAUCCAUAGGCCCAUAGCUUUAUUUUCUACCACAUUCAGGGAGGCCUGAAGUAAGCACUUGCACCUUUACACUUACGAGGCGGUGCCUUUGUUGGUAUGCAAUUUGUUCCACUACCACAUUCUUUUCCUUUGCGUUCACCACCUGCAACAAUCAUAUAUUAUGUCCAUCCAUGCAUACUGUUAAUUAUAUGUAUAUAUAUGGAUGUCCUAUAUAUAAACAAAAAGACUAGCUGCUGAAUCUUACCCAAGGGCUGGUCCUGGAUAGGCAUGGCGGAAAUGGGAAUAAAGAAAGAGGAAGCUAAGAGAACACAAACUAAAAGAAACAGUGGCUUCAUUUUGGAUUAU
RNAcentral lists this long non-coding RNA (29645 nucleotides) under Gossypium barbadense (sea-island cotton). Its description in RNAcentral is "long non-coding RNA (GBAR_LNC010916)". The record is from RNAcentral. Lineage: Eukaryota; Viridiplantae; Streptophyta; Magnoliopsida; Malvales; Malvaceae.